RNAcentral lists this long non-coding RNA (239 nucleotides) under Chinchilla lanigera (long-tailed chinchilla). RNAcentral describes it as "lncRNA (ENSCLAG00000028147.1)". Lineage: Eukaryota; Metazoa; Chordata; Mammalia; Rodentia; Chinchillidae. The record is from RNAcentral.
GGCCCUUGUCUUGGCUCUUGACCCUUCCCCUAUGCAAACAAACACAAGCUCUUUGGCAGGGCUGGCAUCGGCGGCUUGAAGGACCGGGUUGGCUAGACGGGAGGAGCGGUUGGCAAGGAGGAUCCUCCUGGGUACCACCACACCUGCCGUCCUGAUCAGGGAUCUGCUCGAAGUCACCAGGAAGGAAAAGCCAUGGAGAGUCUAUGUUCCUGAACUGUGGCAGGUCCUGUGGUCCCCCC